RNAcentral lists this ribosomal RNA (468 nucleotides) under uncultured bacterium. RNAcentral's name for it is "partial 16S ribosomal RNA". It matches the Rfam family "Bacterial small subunit ribosomal RNA", at positions 28 to 507 of the family's 1533-position model. The record is from RNAcentral.
GACGAACGCUGGCGGCGUGCUUAACACAUGCAAGUCGAACGGAAAGGCCCUGCUUUUGUGGGGUGCUCGAGUGGCGAACGGGUGAGUAACACGUGAGUAACCUGCCCUUGACUUUGGGAUAACUUCAGGAAACUGGGGCUAAUACCGGAUAGGAGCUCCUGCUGCAUGGGGGGGGUUGGAAAGUUUCGGCGGUGGGGGAUGGACUCGCGGCUUACCAGCUGGUUGGUGGGGUAGGGGCUUACCAAGGCUUUGACGGGUAGCCGGCCUGAGAGGGGGACCGGCCACAUUGGGACUGAGAUACGGCCCAGACUCGUACGGGAGGCAGCAGGGGGGAGUAUUGCACAAUGGGCGGAAGCCUGAUGCAGCAACGCCGCGUGCGGGAUGACGGCCUUCGGGUUGUAAACCGCUUUCGCCUGUGACGAAGCGUGAGUGACGGUAAUGGGUAAAGAAGCACCGGCUAACUACGUG